RNAcentral lists this unclassified non-coding RNA (375 nucleotides) under uncultured Gammaproteobacteria bacterium. RNAcentral describes it as "contains 16S-23S intergenic spacer region". Lineage: Bacteria; Pseudomonadati; Pseudomonadota; Gammaproteobacteria. The record is from RNAcentral.
UCCGGUUUAUCACCAGCAGUCUCAUUAGAGUGCUCUAUCCGUAGCAACUAAUGACAAGGGUUGCGCUCGUUGCGGGACUUAACCCAACAUCUCACGACACGAGCUGACGACAGCCAUGCAGCACCUGUGUUCACUUUCCCUUUCGGGCACCUAAUACAUCUCUGUUUCGUUAGUGACAUGUCAAGGGUAGGUAAGGUUCUUCGCGUUGCAUCGAAUUAAUCCACAUCAUCCACCGCUUGUGCGGGUCCCCGUCAAUUCCUUUGAGUUUUAACCUUGCGGCCGUACUCCCCAGGCGGUCGACUUCAUGCGUUAGCUUCGUUACUGAGGUCAUAAUAACCCCAACAACUAGUCGACAUCGUUUAGGGCGUGGACUAC